RNAcentral lists this ribosomal RNA (460 nucleotides) under uncultured Treponema sp. RNAcentral describes it as "bacterial SSU rRNA". It matches the Rfam family "Bacterial small subunit ribosomal RNA", at positions 341 to 792 of the family's 1533-position model. Lineage: Bacteria; Pseudomonadati; Spirochaetota; Spirochaetia; Treponematales; Treponemataceae. The record is from RNAcentral.
ACGGAAGGCAGCAGCUAAGAAUAUUCCGCAAUGGACGAAAGUCUGACGGAGCGACGCCGCGUGGAUGAUGAAGGCCGGAAGGUUGUAAAAUCCUUUUAUAACUGAGGAAUAAGCAUUAUCAGGGAAAGGUGGUGCGGUGACUGUAGGUUAUGAAUAAGCAACGGCUAAUUACGUGCCAGCAGCCGCGGUAACACGUAAGUUGCGAGCGUUGUUCGGAAUUAUUGGGCGUAAAGGGCAUGUAGGCGGUUUUGCAAGCUUGGUGUGAAAGGCAGGAGCUUAACUCCUGGACUGCGUUGAGAACUGCAAGACUUGAGUCACUGAGGGGCAAUCAGAAUUCCUGGUGUAGGGGUGAAAUCUGUAGAUAUCAGGAAGAAUACCAAUGGCGAAGGCAGGUUACCAGCAGAUGACUGACGCUGAGGUGCGAAGGUGCGGGGAGCAAACAGGAUUAGAUACCCUGGUA